AAUACUGCUUUGAGAACCCAAGAACUUAGAUACAGUAUGAUCAUGUUUUAUGUUUUUUGGAAGUAUGGUAGUUCUGUUUUGGACUAUACUUCCUUUUUGUUUCGUUCUGCAUUUAUUGUUCCUGUUCAUAUGUUCCAAGUCCCCACUAGGAAUUGCUGCUACUCCCAGGUCACUUUUUAGCAUGGGAAGGUGUAGUUCCAUUUUUAAACUAUGCUCUUAGAGCUCAAGGUGGGUAUUAAGUCAUGGUAGAGAUUCAGCAAUUCCUAAACGGGGUUCAAUGUUACAUUUGAAAGACAUGAAUUGCAACUAACACGUCUUCCAAAACUUUUCAGUAACCUGGCACAUGCUGUGUCCAAUGGACCAUGGAAGUCAUUUUACUUGGCUGACGAGGGAGCAUCUCCCCAGCAUCAGAGCAACAGCUGUGGGGUGUUUAUGCUGAUGUAUGCAAUGUAUUCUACCCUCCAAAAGCCAUAUGAUUUCAUUGAGGUGGACAUGCUCUCUAUCAGGAGGUGGUGGUGUGGGCAACUGCUGGAGACCUUUACGCUUGAAAGGUGUUACAUACUGCGUCCAUAUUUUGCUAUUUAAUUAUAUUUGGUGCUCAUGAAGAUGGAAGCCUAUACUGAUCUCAUUUCUUUCUCUAGCCCUGCAAGACUAG
This is a long non-coding RNA of Rhinichthys klamathensis goyatoka, 655 nucleotides long. RefSeq lists it as uncharacterized. The record is from RefSeq and is a predicted model, not a curated record. The transcript has 4 exons. NCBI's taxonomy places the organism in Eukaryota, Metazoa, Chordata, Actinopteri, Cypriniformes, Leuciscidae.